CCAACAAGAUCAUGGACUUCAUCAAGUUUGACGUCGGCAACGUGGUCAUGGUGACCGGCGGGAGGAACACCGGGCGUGUAGGAGUGAUCAAGAACAGGGAGAAGCACAAGGGC
RNA transcript from Zea mays, 113 nucleotides. It is a transcript of the gene named 40S ribosomal protein S4-pseudogene, with no coding region annotated. The record is from RefSeq and is marked validated. The transcript has a single exon. NCBI's taxonomy places the organism in Eukaryota, Viridiplantae, Streptophyta, Magnoliopsida, Poales, Poaceae.